UUGGGAAUCUUGCACAAUGGGGGAAACCCUGAUGCAGCGACGCCGCGUGGAGGAUGACGGCCCUAGGGUUGUAAACUCCUUUUUCAGGGAAAGACUUAGGACGGUACCCUGAGAAUAAGCUCCGGCUAACUACGUGCCAGCAGCCGCGGUAAGACGUAGGGAGCAAGCGUUGUCCGGAUUUACUGGGCGUAAAGCGCACGUAGGCGGCUUGUUAAGUGAGAAGUGAAAUCUCCAGCGCUCAACGCGGAAACUGCUUCUCAUACUGGCAAGCUUGAGGGUUGUAGAGGUGACUAGAAUUCCUGGUGUAGCGGUGACAUGCAUAGAUAUCAGGAGGAAUACCCGAGGCGAAGGCGGGUCACUGGGCAACUCCUGACGCUGAGGUGCGAAAGCGUGGGUAGCAAACAGA
This 406-nucleotide ribosomal RNA is filed under the name uncultured bacterium. Its description in RNAcentral is "bacterial SSU rRNA". It matches the Rfam family "Bacterial small subunit ribosomal RNA", at positions 355 to 776 of the family's 1533-position model. The record is from RNAcentral.